Molecule: unclassified non-coding RNA, 779 nt
Organism: Orbicella faveolata
Lineage: Eukaryota; Metazoa; Cnidaria; Anthozoa; Scleractinia; Merulinidae
Source: RefSeq, a predicted model, not a curated record
UUAUUUUAUGCUGACCAAGUCGUUUCAGUUUGUCUCAGAGGAGUUUGAAUGAAAAUGUUUCGAUUCUUCUUCGUGCUCGCUCUCGCCUUUUUCUUGAGUUCUUUCGCAAUAUCGCAGAAAAAGUCCCCUAACGAGACUAAUGGGACCGAAGCUAAACAAAACCUCUGCGCAGUUGCGCCUCAGGUUGUCUGUGGCAAGGAUGGCAAAGACGGAAAAGAUGGACAAAACGGAAAAGACGGGCGCGAUGGAUUGAACGGGAAAGAUGGUCGUGAUGGACGUGAUGGGACGCGUGGACCUAAGGAUGGUAACAUUAUGUUCAGGAUUGUGAUUAGGUCGUAGUAGUGUACUUUUCAACAGAUGAAAGGCAAAAUUAUACAUUGUGAACUACUACUUCAUAAUUUGAGAUUUUUAGAACUGCCCUAGUAUCGUGUAGUAUUUAUAUUAUAUCAAAACGUGCAUAAUAGUUUUCUCUUACAACACGGAUGGCCACCUGUAUUAGUUCAUAUAUUUAUCUUUUUCAUUCAUCAGGGGGAGAAAGGCGAAUUAGGGACAUGUACCAUGGAUGGCAACGCUUCUAUCAAGGGCGAGAAAGGCGAACCAGGAUUGAGAGGAAAGGAUGGUAAUUUUAGUACAAAAGUAAGUUCCAUUGUCCCUUAGUUUAGAACCAGGACUAAGAGGAAAGGAUGGUAAUUUUAGUAUAAAAGUAAGUUCCAUUUUACUUUAGUGGAGAACAAGGACUAAAAGGAAAGGAAAGUAAGUUAAGUACAAAAGUAAGUUUU